RNAcentral lists this ribosomal RNA (429 nucleotides) under uncultured bacterium. RNAcentral describes it as "bacterial SSU rRNA". It matches the Rfam family "Bacterial small subunit ribosomal RNA", at positions 355 to 775 of the family's 1533-position model. The record is from RNAcentral.
UCGAGAAUCAUUCGCAAUGGGCGAAAGCCUGACGAUGCGACGCCGUGUGAGCGAUGAAGGCCUUAGGGUCGUAAAGCUCUUUCGCCUGGGAACAAGAGAGUAGCGCUAAUAUCGCUAUGAUUUGAGGGUACCAGGAAAAGAAGCACCGGCUAACUCCGUGCCAGCAGCUGCGGUAAUACGGAGGGUGCAAGCAUUAAUCGGAUUUAUUGGGCGUAAAGGGCGCGUAGGCGGAAAGGGAAGUCAGAUGUGAAAUCCUGGGGCUCAACCUCAGAACAGCAUAUGAAACUCCCAUUCUAAGAGGGUAGGCGGAGAAAAUGGAAUUCCACAAGUAGCGGUGAAAUGCGUAGAUAUGUGGAAGAACACCAGUGGCGAAGGCGGUUUUCUAGCUUAUUCCUGACGCUGAGGCGCGAAAGCAAGGGGAUCAAACAG